AUUGAACGCUGGCGGCAUGCCUUACACAUGCAAGUCGAACGGUAACAGGUCUUCGGAUGCUGACGAGUGGCGAACGGGUGAGUAAUACAUCGGAACGUGCCUAGUAGUGGGGGAUAACUACUCGAAAGAGUGGCUAAUACCGCACGAGAUCUACGGAUGAAAGCAGGGGAUCGCAAGACCUUGUGCUACUAGAGCGGCCGAUGGCAGAUUAGGUAGUUGGUGGGAUAAAAGCUUACCAAGCCGACGAUCUGUAGCUGGUCUGAGAGGACGAUCAGCCACACUGGGACUGAGACACGGCCCAGACUCCUACGGGAGGCAGCAGUGGGGAAUUUUGGACAAUGGGCGCAAGCCUGAUUCAGCAAUGCCGCGUGCAGGAUGAAGGCCUUCGGGUUGUAAACUGCUUUUGUACGGAACGAAAAGCCCUGGGUUAAUACCCUGGGGUCAUGACGGUACCGUAAGAAUAAGCACCGGCUAACUACGUGCCAGCCGCCGCAGUAA
Molecule: ribosomal RNA, 498 nt
Filed under: uncultured bacterium
Lineage: Bacteria
Description: partial 16S ribosomal RNA
Rfam family: Bacterial small subunit ribosomal RNA
Source: RNAcentral